GAUCCUGGCUCAGAUUGAACGCUGGCGGCAUGCCUUACACAUGCAAGUCGAACGGUAACGGGCCUUCGGGUGCCGACGAGUGGCGAACGGGUGAGUAAUGUAUCGGAACGUACCUUUCAGUGGGGGAUAACGUAGCGAAAGUUACGCUAAUACCGCAUAUUCUGUGCGCAGGAAAGCAGGGGGAUCGCAAGACCUUGCGCUGAUUGAGCGGCCGAUAUCAGAUUAGCUAGUUGGUGAGGUAAAGGCUCACCAAGGCGACGAUCUGUAGCGGGUCUGAGAGGAUGAUCCGCCACACUGGAACUGAGACACGGUCCAGACUCCUACGGGAGGCAGCAGGUGGGGUAAUUUUGGACAAUGGGGGCAACCCUGAUCCAGCCAUGCCGCGUGAGUGAAGAAGGCCUUCGGGUUGUAAAGCUCUUUCGGCCGGGAAGAAAUCGUAUCAGCUAAUACCUGGUGCGGAUGACGGUACCGGCAUAAGAAGCACCGGCUAACUACGUG
RNAcentral lists this ribosomal RNA (498 nucleotides) under uncultured bacterium. Its description in RNAcentral is "bacterial SSU rRNA". It matches the Rfam family "Bacterial small subunit ribosomal RNA", at positions 15 to 507 of the family's 1533-position model. The record is from RNAcentral.